GGGAGGGAGGGAGGAGACGGAGGAGGAUUUAGAAAUCUGCCAGGUCCAGGCAGAGACGGCGUAGGUGGAGGAAGAACACACCUGAAAUCCAGGGGCCUAUCCAAGGAGACCUCCACUGUGGGACCUCUUUAGCCCCGGAGCCGCUCGUUACCAUCUCGGCUCAUUCGUUAAGUUUCCCCCAUCAUGCUGACGCGCUCACACUCUGAGCGUAGGCCCUUGCCCGGGUUCUCCGCCCUGCUGACUCACAGCACCCCCAAACCCCGGAACACCAACUCCCCUCCUCCUUCUCCGCCCUUCUACCCCUCGGAGUCCAUGUUCUCGCCCGUCUCCGUCGCCUCGCCGCCUCACUGGUCACCCAAGCCCUCGAAAACCUGGAGCAGGGCGAGCGAGAGCUGCGGGCCCUGAUGGAACGGCAGCAGGCCGAGGUGGAGGAGGUGAACCGGGAGCUGGACGGCGCCGUGUUCAAAGCCCAGCGGGAGGAGCGCCGUCUCCGGGAGAAGGUGGAGCAGGACCACAGGGAGGCCCAGCGGCGGCUCGACCAGGUCAAGAGGGAGAACGGGGCGUCGGUGAGGGUGGUGCAGUCGCUGCUGGACCGGCAGCUCCGUAAGAUGGCCCAGCUGAAGGAGCAGGUGCACCGGUCGGGUGGAAGCGCCGGAGUGGCCAACAAGAACCAGCUCCAGAGAGGGGUGGCCGAGGUCACCCAGCCGUGGGAGAUAUCGCUGUCCGUGAAGAGGGUGAAGUUCCUUCCCCGGACCCCGGUGAGCGACCUCAGCCUCGGAGAGGUGGAGAUCCGGGAGCAGGGAAUGACGUAUCCCAUCGGCGUCUGUGGGGUCCAAGGGCAGAAGUGCGCUCUGCACUCAGGUGAGAGGACGUUUCUGAACACCGUCCCCACCGAGGUUCGCAAAGAUCUGCUGCCGAAUGUGUCCGGGAACAGACGCAGCUCGGUGGAUGUCGAUAAGGCGAGCGCGGGGAGUACGCGCGUCGUCCGGAAACUGCGACUGUCGAGCUCAGGGGAGCCCAAGGAAGGGCUCAAGGCACCUUUCUUGAAGUCGCCCAGUCCGAAGCAUUGCGCUGCUUCCGAGUCGUCCCAAGAUGAGGAGCAGGAGUCCUUGUGUUCCGACUCGCCGGGCCAUGACCUGUUCCUGGCCUUCCCACCGGUCUCAAGCCAGGGGGAGUCGGAAGGCGACGAGUCUGACGUCACGCGAGACGGCACCGAGAAGGUUCGGAGAAGGAAGAGCACCUUUGUCCUUGUCCCCAGCGAUGAACCUUCCUGCCCUCCUGAGGGCAGCUGUGAGGAAUUCCGGGCGUCUACGGAGAUCAAGGCCAGGGGUUCUUUCUCCAGCCACAGUGCUAUAGAUCUAUCUCCCAGACAUUGUCCCCUCGCCGCGUCCACCAAAAAAAGGUCACUUGUUUCCUCAGUGGACAGCGGUAGCCCCCCGUCUCCCGCGGACAGCGAGGACUCCCACUACAGCUACACCGCCGACAUCCCUUACAGAGCCUCCCUCAAGGAAGUACACAGCCGAGCUGCGUCCACGGCAGACCUCUCUGGCCGGCAGAGGCCCUUGAUCGACAGUGGAAAGGGCGAGCGACGUGGAAUCAGAAAAGCCAACCGGACGCGCCUCUCCCCAGAGUCCUCAACUCCUGAGCAGAAGCAGGGCUGUUGCCAGGAGUCUGGGGGAAGUUGCACAGACUACAACGAGGGAGUUUUGAGACCCCUGAGUCCAGUGAAGAGGGGCACAUGCGCCAGUCCUGUGAGCAGAUCUCUGUCUCUGUCUGCACUCGAAGGGGAGACCUUCCAACGAAACCGAGUGGAGCAACCAUCCGAGAAGUGCAGCAAAGAGGAAGCUGUGCCCCAGUUAAGGGAAGUGGAGGAAGUGGGUGGUUUACCGGCACUAAACGCCGCCUACCUCGUCAGACAGUUUGGAAAACAGGGGUCAGGCCGAACCGACUUCAACCUCCCGAGCGGUGUCCAUGCCACCGUGAAGGGACAGUUGUUCGUGGUGGACUGCGGCAACGCCCGAAUCCAGGUCACGGACCUCCAGAAGAACGUGGUGCAGCAGGUGUGUCCGUCAGGAGCCGAGAGGUCCGCCCGCAUCUGCAACUACUUUGACGUGGCGGUGAACGCCAUGGGCCUCAUCGCCCUGACCUGCGCCGCCGAGCGAGCCCUGCUUGUCUUCAGCCGUCACGGACGACUCCUCCAGACCUUCGGGGGUUCCUCCAUCGGCUCCACCAACGAGGAGCUGGAGGCCCCCCGGGGGGUGACCGUCACCCGGGAGGACGAGUUCCUGGUGGCCGACAUGAAGCGAGGCUCCCUGACCGCGCUGAAGCUGGACCCCAAGACGGGCGUGCGACUGGAGCGCACGACGGUCACCAAGUUCCACCGGCCCCACCUGGUGGCGGCCUGCGUCACUACAGGGCUCGUGGCCGUGUCGGAGCGGGGCAACGAGACGGGCCGCGUCCCCUGCAUCCGGGUGCUUGAGCCCGGGUGGACGACCAUCCGGAUCCUGGGGGUGUGCUCGGGCCUGGGUCCCGUCCUGACAAGCGCGUGGGGUCUGUGCAUCGACGGGGACGGGGACGUCCUGGUGGCCGACUGGGGCAAGCGGCAGCACCGUGUUGUCUUCUACCCUGCCGUAGGGGUAGGCUGGCCCCUGGUGGCGGAGGACCUGAACAGUCCCAGGGGCUUGGCCCCGGUGCCUGGGGGCCAGGUGGUCGUGGCGGACAGCAUGAACCACUGUGUUAAGAUCUACCGCUAUAAGUAGAGAGAUGGAGGGGGGGAGAAACGCUAGCAAAUGACAUUAACGAUGUUGUAGUAUCAGCGAACCAGACGAUGCGAUUAUCGGUUUUGCACCAUUAUUAUCAAUAAUGGUGCAUUAUUGAUUAUUAUCAAUAAUGGUGUAAAAGUCCAAAACAUUAGUAGACAAUCAUCCACCAUUUAGUUAGAAGUACUUACUGUAUUUGGCGAACAGGGAAUCCAAGUUUGAGGUUUGAAUAUUUUUGUGGCGUAUUUCUUUGGGGGUUGGAUGUUGUUUUCUUUUUACAUACAAUCAUCUGUGAAUGUAUCAGCUAGUAUAAGCUAUUAAGAUAUCAGUGGUGAUGGAUCAUGAUCUUGGCUCUUCCUAGUAUCCAUGCAGAAUCCUGAUUUAUCUUCUACGAAAUCGUACUGAUUGAUUACAUGUUUAAUAAUUUGAAGUUAUUUUAGAGAGAAUACAAUAUAAGAUAUAUAAGAUGGUUAAAUCAAUUAAAUAUACUAAAAUACAAGCUUAUCUAAAAGGUAUUUUAGCGUGCUACAAAGUGUGUCAUUAUGUUCACAUUUGGGAAACAAAUUGUGUAAUCUGUAAAUGUUCCAGACAGACAUGAUUCCCGUAAAUUGUUCUUUGUGUGUUCUGUGAAAUUUCUGAAUAAAAACAUAUUUUAGCUUUCAA
This is an RNA transcript of Gadus macrocephalus (Pacific cod), 3422 nucleotides long. RefSeq lists it as uncharacterized. The record is from RefSeq and is a predicted model, not a curated record. NCBI's taxonomy places the organism in Eukaryota, Metazoa, Chordata, Actinopteri, Gadiformes, Gadidae. The transcript is spliced from 3 exons.